Molecule: small nuclear RNA, 102 nt
Organism: Diceros bicornis minor
Lineage: Eukaryota; Metazoa; Chordata; Mammalia; Perissodactyla; Rhinocerotidae
Source: RefSeq, a predicted model, not a curated record
GUGCUUGUUUCAGUAGCACAUAUACUAAAAUUAGAAUCAUACAGAGAAGAUUAACAUGGUCCCUGCAUAAGGAUGACUCACAAAUUCGUGGCCCAUAUUUUU